CUUGUUUACAAAUGAAGAAAUUGAGGCUCACAUGAGUUUGGUAUCUUGUUCAAAGUCUCAAAGCAGAAUGCCUUGGAACAGGACAUACCAGGAAUGCAAAGAAAGUCUCCUUUUGAGGGGUAGAAGCAGGUGAGUAGAGGAACUUAUAAUAGAAGAAAGACUAAACCAGGUUGUCCUCCUGGCAUUCCAGCAAUGAAACUACCUUUGACAGGAAUAAUACCUGCUUUUUACUGAGACUUGAUUGAUCAUUGUCUGUGCAUUACCAUGACUUUAUGAUUUCAAUUAACCUGAAUAAAACCUUUUAAAACCA
Molecule: long non-coding RNA, 310 nt
Organism: Homo sapiens (human)
Lineage: Eukaryota; Metazoa; Chordata; Mammalia; Primates; Hominidae
Exons: 2
Source: RefSeq, a predicted model, not a curated record